AUACGGAGGGGGUUAGCGUUGUUCGGAAUUACUGGGCGUAAAGCGUACGUAGGCGGAUUGGAAAGUUGGGGGUGAAAUCCCAGGGCUCAACCCUGGAACUGCCUCCAAAACUACCAGUCUAGAGUUCGAGAGAGGUGAGUGGGAUUCCUAGUGUAGAGGUGAAAUUCGUAGAUAUUAGGAGGAACACCAGUGGCGAAGGCGGCUCACUGGCUCGAUACUGACGCUGAGGUACGAAAGUGUGGGGAGCAAACAGGAUUAGAUACCCCGGUAGUCC
RNAcentral lists this ribosomal RNA (274 nucleotides) under uncultured bacterium. RNAcentral describes it as "partial 16S ribosomal RNA". It matches the Rfam family "Bacterial small subunit ribosomal RNA", at positions 523 to 796 of the family's 1533-position model. The record is from RNAcentral.